Molecule: long non-coding RNA, 369 nt
Filed under: Helianthus annuus (common sunflower)
Lineage: Eukaryota; Viridiplantae; Streptophyta; Magnoliopsida; Asterales; Asteraceae
Description: sRNA HanXRQr2_Chr06g0243041
Source: RNAcentral
AAAGAAUCAAGAAGGCUUCGGUCGCAAACUUCGCAGGUUUUCGUAACCCCUUUGCCAGGCCUGGGCUGCGGGCGUUCGUUCAAGAACACAACCUUUGCGCUGUUGAUAACGUAAGUUUGAACCGAACUGAUGUCCAAGUAUUUCUGAAUCUCGGAUACUCUAAUCACGUCGUGAUAUGAUGACCUCCGUAUCUGGACCUGAAUGGCGCGAUGAUCCUUGUGUUGAUUGAGACAGAGUGAACAGAGAGCACCAUUGGUGCAAUCUAAACAGUACAUAUUGCAUUCCGACUUGUGCGAAUCGGCGUGUAAUUUACAUUGAACAAAGAACUUUUCUCUAAGCAUAGGCUUCAACCACAGCGGCCACUUUUGU